GAUGAACGCUGGCGGCGUGCCUAAUACAUGCAAGUCGAGCGAACAGACGAGAGUGCUUGCACUCUCUGACGUUGGCGGCGGACGGGUGAGUAACACGUGGGUAACCUACCUAUAAGACUGGGAUAACUUCGGGAAACCGGAGCUAAUACCGGAUAAUAUUUAGCUUCGCAUGAAGCAAUAGUGAAAGACGGUUCUGCUGCCACUUAUAGAUGGACCCGCGGUGUAUUAGCUAGUUGGUGAGGUAACGGCUCACCAAGGCAACGAUACAUAGCCGACCUGAGAGGGUGAUCGGCCACACUGGGACUGAGACACGGCCCAGACUCCUACGGGAGGCAGCAGUAGGGAAUCUUCCGCAAUGGACGAAAGUCUGACGGAGCAAUGCCGCGUGAGUGAAGAAGGUUUUCGGAUCGUAAAACUCUGUUGUAAGGGAAGAACAAGUACGUUAGUAACUGAACGUACCUUGACGGUACCUUACCAGAAAGCCACGGCUAACUACGUG
Molecule: ribosomal RNA, 499 nt
Filed under: uncultured bacterium
Lineage: Bacteria
Description: partial 16S ribosomal RNA
Rfam family: Bacterial small subunit ribosomal RNA
Source: RNAcentral